Carassius gibelio (silver crucian carp) is the source of this 726-nucleotide long non-coding RNA. RefSeq lists it as uncharacterized. NCBI's taxonomy places the organism in Eukaryota, Metazoa, Chordata, Actinopteri, Cypriniformes, Cyprinidae. The transcript is spliced from 3 exons. The record is from RefSeq and is a predicted model, not a curated record.
CAGGGAUAGGAUUGACAUGGAAGAUGAAGCACUCUUUACAUUUUAAAUAUCAAAUGUAUAUCAAGUGUUAUCCAUCCUCAUAACACCUCCACAAAUAAAGACUGGAACUUCUGAGCACCAUCACCUUGUCUGCUUUAGGACUGUCAUAGCCCAGCAAUCAGAUGCAUCAGAACAACAAAGCACAACUGUGGUGGCCCAGGCACCUUCAGCAACCAGUAAAUUGCUUUAACAUUAAUGAUAAUGAAAUGUCAGUAUUGUAAUUAAACUUGACCCAUCUGACGUAAUUGUUCAUGCCAGAGAUUUAACAACACUGUCAGUCAGGAGCAUAUUUAACAGGAGGCACACUUCAGCUGGCUUGAUGGUGACUUCAGUAAGUGUGGUUGACCCUCUUGUUUUUUGUGGCUAUAACAAUUUGGCUAAGUAAUCUCACUCUCUUCCAUUUCCUUAACAUGAAACAUCACCGUACAUCAUCUCUAGGUCCAGUCACCCAGUGCAGCCAGCUUCACAAAGACUGUGGGGCUUGUCACCAGGAAAAUGGACAACAGGGAGAGUUUUUGGGGUUUUACUCCUCAGAUGACCACCCUGGCUACUGUAGCUGGGAUUGCUUCACAGACGAUGGAGGUCUUGAAGUGUAAAUUGUGUGUGCGCUUGCAGUUCAUGUGUUUUCAGUGUAGUGUAAGAUGUUUAUUAUUGUUAUUACUCAAAAACAAUUAAAACUGCUAAAUU